This 453-nucleotide ribosomal RNA is filed under the name uncultured bacterium. RNAcentral's name for it is "bacterial SSU rRNA". It matches the Rfam family "Bacterial small subunit ribosomal RNA", at positions 335 to 804 of the family's 1533-position model. The record is from RNAcentral.
ACUCCUACGGGAGGCAGCAGUGGGGAAUAUUGCACAAUGGGGGAAACCCUGAUGCAGCAACGCCGCGUGAAGGAAGAAGGCCUUCGGGUUGUAAACUUCUGUCCUAGGGGAAGAAACAAAUGACAUUACCCUUGGAGGAAGCCCCGGCUAACUACGUGCCAGCAGCCGCGGUAAUACGUAGGGGGCGAGCGUUAUCCGGAAUUAUUGGGCGUAAAGAGUGCGUAGGUGGCAUCUUAAGCGCAGGGUUUAAGGCAAUGGCUCAACCAUUGUUCGCCUUGCGAACUGGGGUGCUUGAGUGCAGGAGGGGAAAGUGGAAUUCCUAGUGUAGCGGUGAAAUGCGUAGAUAUUAGGAGGAACACCAGUGGCGAAGGCGACUUUCUGGACUGUUACUGACACUGAGGCACGAAAGCGUGGGGAGCAAACAGGAUUAGAAACCCGGGUAGUCCAGAAGUG